RNAcentral lists this long non-coding RNA (1888 nucleotides) under Mus musculus (house mouse). RNAcentral describes it as "long non-coding RNA chr19:46595000-46596888". The record is from RNAcentral. Lineage: Eukaryota; Metazoa; Chordata; Mammalia; Rodentia; Muridae.
GAUGUAGCUUGGUUGGGAGCGUUUGCCUGGCAUUCACAAAGCUGAUUCAAUUCUUUGUGCCGUACGAUUCAGGCAUAAUUUUAUAUGCUUGUGAUCCCUGUACUUAAGAGGUGGUGGCAGGAGGAUUAGAAGUUCAAAAGUUGACAGAUAGUGGUGGCACACAUCUUUAGAUUCAGGAGGCAGAGGCAGGCUGAUUUCUGAGUGUGAGGCCAGCUGGUCUACAGAGCUAAUUCCAGGAUAGCCAGGGCUACACAGAGAAAUCUUUUCUCAAAAAAAAAAACCAAAAAACAAAAAACAAAAAACCACCAAAACAAAUCAACAACAACAACAACACCAAACCCAAAAAGUUCAAAGGUAACCUUAGCUACAUGGGGAAUUCCAGGAUAGCCUGAGCUAGAGACUUACUCAAAAAAUAGAGGGAGGGAACAAGAACAAGGUAUUUUGCCUGCUUUGUCCUUGCCCCCUGACCCUUGGGACCAGAAGCAGAGGUCUUCUCAGCAGAGGUUGCUGGUGUAUGGGAGGUGCUCACACAGUUUAGGAUAUUUAGAAAUCGAGUGAUCCUUGUCCAGUCAGGACAGAGGAUACACUAAUCUCUUCCUCUUCUCCUGCUUCCUCCUUUUUUGGGGGGGGGGGGAUAGCCCUGGCUGUCCUGGAACUCACUCUGUAGACCAGACUGGCCCCGAACUCAGAAAUCCACCUGCCUCUGCCUCCCGAGUGCUGGGAUUAAAGGUGUGCGCCACCACGCCCGGCUUGCUUCCUCCUUCCUAAGCAAGAGAAACAUUUACCCUUGCGAUUCUUAAAAAAAAAAGCUUUUUAUCAUUUUUUAAAACAUUUUUAUGGGUGGGUGUUUUGCUCCCAUGCAUGUCUCUGCAUGCCGUGCCCACAGAGGUCAGAGAGCAUGUCAGAUCAUCUGAAACUGGAGUUACUACUGUGAGCCAGCCUGCGGUCAAACCCUGGUCCUUUUGAAGAGCAGCGGCAGCUCUUACCUGCUGAGCCCUCUUUCCAGCUCCUUAUCCAGGGAGAGAUAAAGGAGCUAUGUGAAUCUUCUUGGGGACUCAUCUCUACUCUUCCCCAUGAUGCCCUGACUGGGCUAUCCCAUUGGGAAUGCUUCUAGAUUUGAGUUUUUCAAGUCCUUGGAGUUAUUUGUACUAAAAAAGACAAAAACAAACACAAACACAAAACAAAAACAAAACCCAUGGACAAAUAGUUCCUUUCCUUGGCCCAUUAGGUCUCAUACCAAAGAGGGCUGGGACACCUCUGAGUGGGAAUUCACCAGGACUACAGCCUUAAAAACAUGUAGGAGAGAUGCAGGGCAGCACCUUUAAUCCUGUACCCUCUGGGCAGAGGCAGGCGGAUCUCUGAGAUCGAGGCCAGCCUGGUCUACAGAGUGAGUUCCUGGCCAGCCAGGACUACACAGAGAAACCCUGUCUUGAAAAGACAAGGAAAAUGAAAGUGUAGGGCAAACCACCAUUUUACGGAGGUUAUGUGGGGCAUCAAGCUCUGCGCCUUGGAAAAAUGACUAUUCUGUCUUAAUAUCAUGUCCAAAUCCACUUCUGGGACCUUUAGCUGAGAGGUCUCUUCUCUCAUUGCCUUCUCUGUUUUACAAGUCAAGUCCCUCACUGUGAGUGGGAUGAUUUCCUGCUGCCUUCCUUCCCUCUGCCUGUUAGGUCACAUACCAAAGAUUGCUGAGUGCUGGUGGGAUGUGGAGCCUCACUUGGACACCUCAGACAGGAAGUCCACCAGGGCCAACAAGCCUAAGGAGGGCACAAAGGGCCACUUUAGUUCCCUGGGGGACUGGCUUACCUGGGGUCAGUGUGUAAUGAGUUUUGUCUGGCAAGAUUUGCUGAUUCUGUUCAAACGCACCAUUAUGAAUUGAAUAAACUAUUUG